CAAUGCCGCGUGAGUGAUGAAGGCCUUAGGGUUGUAAAGCUCUUUUACCAGGGAUGAUAAUGACAGUACCUGGAGAAUAAGCUCCGGCUAACUCCGUGCCAGCAGCCGCGGUAAUACGGAGGGAGCUAGCGUUGUUCGGAAUUACUGGGCGUAAAGAGUACGUAGGCGGUGAUUCAAGUCAGAGGUGAAAGCCUGGAGCUCAACUCCAGAACUGCCUUUGAAACUAGAUCGCUAGAAUUGUGGAGAGGUUAGUGGAAUUCCGAGUGUAGAGGUGAAAUUCGUAGAUAUUCGGAAGAACACCAGUGGCGAAGGCGACUAACUGGACACAUAUUGACGCUGAGGUACGAAAGCGUGGGGAGCAAACAGGAUUAGAUACCCUGGUAGUCCACGCCGUAAACGGAUGAUAACUAGCUGUUCGGGGUCUACGAUCCUGAGUGGCGCAGCUAACGC
RNAcentral lists this ribosomal RNA (450 nucleotides) under alpha proteobacterium so16. RNAcentral describes it as "bacterial SSU rRNA". It matches the Rfam family "Bacterial small subunit ribosomal RNA", at positions 392 to 858 of the family's 1533-position model. The record is from RNAcentral. Lineage: Bacteria; Pseudomonadati; Pseudomonadota; Alphaproteobacteria.